Molecule: ribosomal RNA, 253 nt
Filed under: uncultured bacterium
Lineage: Bacteria
Description: partial 16S ribosomal RNA
Rfam family: Bacterial small subunit ribosomal RNA
Source: RNAcentral
AACGUAGGUGGCAAGCGUUAUCCGGAAUUACUGGGCGUAAAGGGUGUGCAGGCGGGGUUGCACGUGGGGUAUGAAAUAUUCCAGCUUAACUGGGAGGGGUUAUGCCAGACUGCAACUCUAGAGGACGAGAGAGGGGGGUGGAAUUCCGGGUGUAGUGGUGAAAUGCGUAGAGAUCCGGAGGAACCCCAGAGGCGAAGGCGGCCCCCUGGCUCGUACCUGACGCUCAGCCACGAAAGCAUGGGGAGCGAACGGG